Non-coding RNA from Oryza brachyantha (malo sina), 139 nucleotides. Lineage: Eukaryota; Viridiplantae; Streptophyta; Magnoliopsida; Poales; Poaceae. The record is from Rfam.
CAACUUGAUGCUGAAGAAUUAAUUGCUUUUAUUCUGAAUGGUUUAGAUGAUGAUUAUGACCCUGUUGUAUCCAGUCUUGCAGCAAGAACUGAACCUCUCACCCUGUCCGACACAUAUGCACAAUUGUUGAGUUUUGGAA